This is a non-coding RNA of Trichobilharzia regenti, 48 nucleotides long. NCBI's taxonomy places the organism in Eukaryota, Metazoa, Platyhelminthes, Trematoda, Strigeidida, Schistosomatidae. The record is from Rfam.
AUCCAGAUGACGAGUCCCGGAUAGGACGAAAUUCGCGUUAUCCUGGAU